Molecule: ribosomal RNA, 464 nt
Filed under: uncultured bacterium
Lineage: Bacteria
Description: bacterial SSU rRNA
Rfam family: Bacterial small subunit ribosomal RNA
Source: RNAcentral
CCAGACUCCUACGGGAGGCAGCAGUGAGGAAUAUUGGUCAAUGGGCGGAAGCCUGAACCAGCCAAGUCGCGUGAGGGAUUAAGGCCCUGCGGGUCGUAAACCUCUUUUGCCGGGGAGCAGAGGUCCGGACGUGUCCGGGCCGGGAGAGUACCUGAAGAAAAAGCAUCGGCUAACUCCGUGCCAGCAGCCGCGGUAAUACGGAGGAUGCGAGCGUUAUCCGGAUUUAUUGGGUUUAAAGGGUGCGUAGGCGGAAUAUCAAGUCAGCGGUAAAAAGUCGGGGCUCAACCCCGUCGUGCCGUUGAAACUGAUGUUCUUGAGUGGGCGAGAAGUAUGCGGAAUGCGUGGUGUAGCGGUGAAAUGCAUAGAUAUCACGCAGAACUCCGAUUGCGAAGGCAGCAUACCGGCGCCCAACUGACGCUGAAGCACGAAAGCGUGGGUAUCGAACAGGAUUAGAUACCCUAGUA